Long non-coding RNA from Salvelinus fontinalis (brook trout), 1639 nucleotides. RefSeq lists it as uncharacterized. NCBI's taxonomy places the organism in Eukaryota, Metazoa, Chordata, Actinopteri, Salmoniformes, Salmonidae. The transcript has 4 exons. The record is from RefSeq and is a predicted model, not a curated record.
UACACUGUAUUAAUGGAGGUGUGUCUACAGAUGCACUGUAUUAAUGGAGGUGUGGUGGAGGUGUGUCUACAGAUACACUGUAUUAAUGGAGGCGUGUCUACAGAUACACUGUAUUCAUGGAGGUGUGUCUACAGAUACACUGUAUUAAUGGAGGUGUGUCUACAGAUACACUGUAUUAAUGGAGGCGUGUCUACAGAUACACUGUAUUAAUGGAGGUGUGUCUACAGAUACACUGUAUUAAUGGAGGUGUGGAGGAGGUGUGUCUACAGAUACACUGUAUUAAUGGAGGUGUGUCUACAGAUACACUGUAUUAAUGGAGGUGUGUCUACAGAUACACUGUAUUAAUGGAGGUGUGUCUACAGAUGCACUGUAUUAAUGGAGGUGUGUCUACAGAUACACUGUAUUAAUGGAGGUGUGUCUACAGAUACACUGUAUUAAUGGAGGUGUGUCUACAGAUACACUGUAUUAAUGGAGGUGUGUCUACAGAUACACUGUAUUAAUGGAGGUGUGUCUACAGAUACACUGUAUUAAUGGAGGUGUGUCUACAGAUACACUGUAUUAAUGGAGGUGUGUCUACAGAUACACUGUAUUAAUGGAGGUGUGUCUACAGAUACACUGUAUUAAUGGAGGUGUGUCUACAGAUACACUGUAUUAAUGGAGGUGUGUCUACAGAUACACUGUAUUCAUGGAGGUGUGGAGGAGGCGUGUCUACAGAUACACUGUAUUAAUGGAGGUGUGUCUACAGAUACACUGUAUUAAUGGAGGCGUGUCUACAGAUACACUGUAUUAAUGGAGGUGUGGAGGAGGUGUGUCUACAGAUACACUGUAUUAAUGGAGGUGUGGAGGAGGUGUGUCUACAGAUACACUGUAUUAAUGGAGGUGUGUCUACAGGUACACUGUAUUAAUGGAGGUGUGUCUACAGGUACACUGUAUUAAUGGAGGUGUGUCUACAGAUACACUGUAUUAAUGGAGGUGUGGAGGAGGUGUGUCUACAGAUACACUGUAUUAAUGGAGGUGUGUCUACAGAUACACUGUAUUAAUGGAGGUGUGUCUACAGAUACACUGUAUUAAUGGAGAGGUGGUGGAGGUGUGUCUACAGAUACACUGUAUUAAUGGAGGUGUGUCUACAGAUACACUGUAUUAAUGGAGGUGUGGAGGAGGUGUGUCUACAGAUACACUGUAUUAAUGGAGGUGUGGAGGAGGUGUGUCUACAGAUACACUGUAUUAAUGGAGGUGUGUCUACAGAUACACUGUAUUAAUGGAGGUGUGGAGGAGGUGUGUCUACAGAUACACUGUAUUACUGGAGGCGUGUCUACAGAUACACUGUAUUAAUGGAGGUGUGUCUACAGAUACACUGUAUUAAUGGAGGUGUGGAGGAGGUGUGUCUACAGAUACACUGUAUUAAUGGAGGUGUGGAGGAGGCGUGUCUACAGAUACACUGUAUUAAUGGAGGUGUGGAGGAGGUGUGUCUACAGAUACACUGUAUUAAUGGAGGUGUGGAGGAGGCGUGUCUACAGAUACACUGUAUUAAUGGAGGUGUGUCUACAGAUACACUGUAUUAAUGGAGGUGUGUCUACAGAUACACUGUAUUAAUGGAGGUGUGGAGGAGGUGUGUCUACAGAUACACUGUAUUAAUGGA